GGUGGGGUGGUUUGAGACAGGUGUUGUAUAUAGUGGUAGUGUUAGACAGGUGUUGUAUAUAGUGGUAGUGUUAGACAGGUGUUGUAUAUAGUGGUAGUGUUAGACAGGUGUUGUGUAUAUAGUGGUAGUGUUAGACAGGUGUUGUAUAUAGUGGUAGUGUUAGACAGGUGUUGUGUAUAUAGUGGUAGUGUUAGACAGGUGUUGUAUAUAGUGGUAGUGUUAGACAGGUGUUGUAUAUAGUGGUAGUGUUAGACAGGUGUUGUAUAUAGUGGUAGUGUUAGACAGGUGUUGUAUAUAGUGGUAGUGUUAGACAGGUGUUGUAUAUAGUGGUAGUGUUAGACAGGUGUUGUAUAUAGUGGUAGUGUUAGACAGGUGUUGUAUAUAGUGGUAGUGUUAGACAGGUGUUGUAUAUAGUGGUAGUGUUAGACAGGUGUUGUAUAUAGUGGUAGUGUUAGACAGGUGUUGUAUAUAGUGGUAGUGUUAGACAGGUGUUGUGUAUAUAGUGGUAGUGUUAGACAGGUGUUGUGUAUAUAGUGGUAGUGUUAGACAGGUGUUGUAUAUAGUGGUAGUGUUAGACAGGUGUUGUAUAUAGUGGUAGUGUUAGACAGGUGUUGUAUAUAGUGGUAGUGUUAGACAGGUGUUGUAUAUAGUGGUAGUGUUAGACAGGUGUUGUAUAUAGUGGUAGUGUUAGACAGGUGUUGUAUAUAGUGGUAGUGUUAGACAGGUGUUGUAUAUAGUGGUAGUGUUAGACAGGUGUUGUAUAUAGUGGUAGUGUUAGACAGGUGUUGUAUAUAGUGGUAGUGUUAGACAGGUGUUGUAUAUAGUGGUAGUGUUAGACAGGUGUUGUAUAUAGUGGUAGUGUUAGACAGGUGUUGUAUAUAGUGGUAGUGUUAGACAGGUGUUGUAUAUAGUGGUAGUGUUAGACAGGUGUUGUAUAUAGUGGUAGUGUUAGACAGGUGUUGUAUAUAGUGGUAGUGUUAGACAGGUGUUGUAUAUAGUGGUAGUGUUAGACAGGUGUUGUAUAUAGUGGUAGUGUUAGACAGGUGUUGUAUAUAGUGGUAGUGUUAGACAGGUGUUGUAUAUAGUGGUAGUGUUAGACAGGUGUUGUAUAUAGUGGUAGUGUUAGACAGGUGUUGUAUAUAGUGGUAGUGUUAGACAGGUGUUGUAUAUAGUGGUAGUUUUAGACAGGUGUUGUAUAUAGUG
Long non-coding RNA from Oncorhynchus keta (chum salmon), 1203 nucleotides. RefSeq lists it as uncharacterized. The transcript is spliced from 4 exons. Lineage: Eukaryota; Metazoa; Chordata; Actinopteri; Salmoniformes; Salmonidae. The record is from RefSeq and is a predicted model, not a curated record.